RNAcentral lists this ribosomal RNA (510 nucleotides) under uncultured bacterium. Its description in RNAcentral is "partial 16S ribosomal RNA". It matches the Rfam family "Bacterial small subunit ribosomal RNA", at positions 355 to 857 of the family's 1533-position model. The record is from RNAcentral.
UGGGGAAUAUUGCACAAUGGGCGCAAGCCUGAUGCAGCCAUGCCGCGUGUGUGAAGAAGGCCUUCGGGUUGUAAAGCACUUUCAGCGAGGAGGAAGGUGGUGAACUUAAUACGUUCAUCAAUUGACGUUACUCGCAGAAGAAGCACCGGCUAACUCCGUGCCAGCAGCCGCGGUAAUACGGAGGGUGCAAGCGUUAAUCGGAAUUACUGGGCGUAAAGCGCACGCAGGCGGUUUGUUAAGUCAGAUGUGAAAUCCCCGGGCUCAACCUGGGAACUGCAUUUGAAACUGGCAAGCUAGAGUCUCGUAGAGGGGGGUAGAAUUCCAGGUGUAGCGGUGAAAUGCGUAGAGAUCUGGAGGAAUACCGGUGGCGAAGGCGGCCCCCUGGACGAAGACUGACGCUCAGGUGCGAAAAGCGUGGGGAGCAAACAGAUUAGAUACCCUGGUAGUCACGCUGUAAACGAUGUCGAUUUUGGAGGUUGUGCCCUUGAGGCGUGGNUUCCGGAGCUAACG